UGAGGCCUCCUGACUGGCGCCGAUGCUCUGGCGACAGAGCGCCGGAUGCCGGAAAGUUGGUCAAACUUGAUCAUUUAGAGGAAGUAAAAGUCGUAACAAGGUUUCCGUAGGUGAACCUGCGGAAGGAUCAUUACCGAUGCAGUCCGACAACUCCGUUGUUUACCUUGUGAACUGUACCUAACUCUUAGGGGUCGGCAAGUCCGUUAAAUGGCGGUCGUACGUGUCUGUCUGUCUGUUUGUCCCGAGAGAGGAUUGCGGACGGACGCGGACGCUCUGCCAGCCCCGACCGUGUUUUUAACACGAACGAAGGUGGGCUUUACUGUACGUCUGAUUUGGGUGGCCACUCCGUGCGUCACCGCGAGAGAGAGCAAAAACGAGAUACAACUUUUGACGGUGGAUCUCUUGGCUCACGCAUCGAUGAAGAACGCAGCCAGCUGCGAUAAGUAGUGUGAAUUGCAGAAUUCAGUGAAUCAUCGAAUCUUUGAACGCAAAUGGCGCUCUUGGGUUCUCCCAGGAGCAUGUCUGUCUGAGUGUCGGAUAUCAUCCAUCGCACCCGGCGGUGCGGCGUUGAGGCGUCACGGCCGUACGGUUUACCGUGCCGUGUCCCUUGAAGGCAAGAGAGACCCGCGUGGCUCGGGCCGGUCCCCGGCAGACACGAUCGCGGAGGCUAAAAGCUGUUUUGCCCUUCGCGUGCCGGUGCGACUGGCCGUACCAGGGUCGGUCGGACGAGGCGAACGCCAAAGGCUCUGACCUCAGAU
RNAcentral lists this small RNA (758 nucleotides) under Plerogyra sinuosa. RNAcentral's name for it is "eukaryotic LSU rRNA". The stretch from base 383 to 536 matches the Rfam family "5.8S ribosomal RNA". The record is from RNAcentral. Lineage: Eukaryota; Metazoa; Cnidaria; Anthozoa; Scleractinia; Caryophylliidae.